RNAcentral lists this ribosomal RNA (341 nucleotides) under uncultured bacterium. RNAcentral's name for it is "bacterial SSU rRNA". It matches the Rfam family "Bacterial small subunit ribosomal RNA", at positions 180 to 507 of the family's 1533-position model. The record is from RNAcentral.
UAGAGAUUGCAUAAUCUUUAUUUGAAAGUGCCAACUGGUACACUAUGAGAUGGACCCGCGUUGUAUUAGCUAGUUGGUAGUGUAAUGGACUACCAAGGCGAUGAUACAUAGCCGACCUGUGAGGGUGAUCGGCCACAUUGGGACCUGAGACACGGCCCAAACUCCUACGGGAGGCAGCAGUAGGGAAUCUUCGGCAAUGGACGAAAGUCUGACCGAGCAACGCCGCGUGAGUGAAGAAGGUUUUCGGAUCGUAAAACUCUGUUGUUAGAGAAGAAUGUUGAUUAGAGUGGAAAAUUAAUCAAGUGACGGUAUCUAACCAGAAAGGGACGGCUAACUACGUG